This 252-nucleotide long non-coding RNA is filed under the name Vitis vinifera (wine grape). RNAcentral describes it as "long non-coding RNA (VVIN_LNC005786)". The record is from RNAcentral. Lineage: Eukaryota; Viridiplantae; Streptophyta; Magnoliopsida; Vitales; Vitaceae.
UGCAUUUGAAGGUUGACUUAUCAAUAUUAGGGUCUGUCUUAGGAUGGUUGGUCUUGGAUUGGUCCUGCCAAUUUCGGGUUAAUUGUUGUCGGACUACCAUAGCUGAGGUGUCAGGGUUGUCAGAUUCUGCUUUCAUACUAGCAUGACGUACUGCCUCUCGUCGAAUCAGUGCAUAGCAUUCUUCCAAAUCGGGAAGAAGAUCUUUGCGUAGAAUCUCUCCUCGAACUUGCUCAAAGUCACCACCCAAUCCAG